RNAcentral lists this ribosomal RNA (491 nucleotides) under uncultured bacterium. RNAcentral describes it as "partial 16S ribosomal RNA". It matches the Rfam family "Bacterial small subunit ribosomal RNA", at positions 29 to 506 of the family's 1533-position model. The record is from RNAcentral.
AGUGAACGCUGGCGGUAGGCCUAACACAUGCCAGUCGAACGGCAGCACAGUAAGAGCUUGCUCUUACGGGUGGCGAGUGGCGGACGGGUGAGGAAUACAUCGGAAUCUACUUUUUCGUGGGGGAUAACGUAGGGAAACUUACGCUAAUACCGCAUACGACCUACGGGUGAAAGCAGGGGAUCUUCGGACCUUGCGCGAUUGAAUGAGCCGAUGUCGGAUUAGCUAGUUGGCGGGGUAAAGGCCCACCAAGGCGACGAUCCGUAGCUGGUCUGAGAGGAUGAUCAGCCACACUGGAACUGAGACACGGUCCAGACUCCUACGGGAGGCAGCAGUGGGGAAUAUUGGACAAUGGGCGCAAGCCUGAUCCAGCCAUACCGCGUGGGUGAAGAAGGCCUUCGGGUUGUAAAGCCCUCUUGUUGGGAAAGAAAAGCAGCAGGUUAAUACCCCGCUGUUCUGACGGUACCCAAAGAAUAAGCACCGGCUAACUUCGG